This is a long non-coding RNA of Megalobrama amblycephala (Wuchang bream), 2178 nucleotides long. RefSeq lists it as uncharacterized. Lineage: Eukaryota; Metazoa; Chordata; Actinopteri; Cypriniformes; Xenocyprididae. The record is from RefSeq and is a predicted model, not a curated record. The transcript has 3 exons.
CUGCAAUAUUACUUGGUGGGGGAAAAUGUGUAAGAAGAGUGAUUGAAAUGAGUGUGCGGGUCACCUCCCUAUUUGAUAAAAAUCCUCACUCUCUCUUCAAAGUCUCAUAGGCCCUUUUCAUAUCUUUUAGAUCUGUUUUAGAGAUGAGUAUAUUUGUAUUUGAGUGACAGUAGGUAAUAUUGUGUGUGCUCUGACAGGGCUCUUUAGCACAUGCUAUUGUCUGUCACAUUGUCUCUAUUUCUUCUUGAGUGUUAGCGAGUGAUUAGUCUUUAGUGUUGCUAAGAGACCAGUUUAAAGCAUUCCACACAUAUUCCGUUUAUUCCUUCAUUCCAGGCUGUUAAAAUCAUUGACAUGUGAUUAGUGUCUCUUCUGGGGGUUGAGCUGAUUCAGUGUUUCUGUGUUUGGGUGUUCCCACAUGAAAGGAUUUAAAUAGUAAAGUUUAAAGUUUUUUUUUUUUUAAGUUUUUUUUUUUUUUUAUGUGCAUGCAUGUGUAUUUUUGUAUAUGUUAGCAGAAGUAUCUAAUGUUUUGGUUUUUAUACAAUUCAUAUUCAAGCCAUUAGAAGUAAGAAUUUAUUGAACUCUCAUUAGAGUAUUAGUAGACUGUCUGCUUAAUAUCUGUUAGCAAACUCUUUAUUUUGAUGGUCCCCCAACAGACAUUCUACUGACUAGAAGUAACUUUUCAACUACUACAUGUCAACUUACUAAUCCGAACCCUAACACAUAACCCUAAACCCUACUAACAGUCUACUUCAGUCGACUAAUACUGGAAUGAGAGUUGUUGUUACUUAUAAUUAGUAGAAUGUCAAAAGUGGACCAUCAAAAUAAAGUGUAACUGUCACAGAAACGGUCUCUGUGGCUCCCCCCAAUCGCCACCUGAGGGCACCCUCACCUGAAUACUGAUCAUUCCAUGGACUACAUUUCCCAUACCACGUACCCGGGCUGAUUACACACACACCUGUUCCAUAUCUUCCCCGGACUAUAAAUGACUCUCAUUCCCCAUCAUGCUUCGUGAAGUCUUGUUUUGCCUAGCUGACAUUUCUGAGCGUUUAUUCCCUGUUUGCGAUAUUCUGUGUAUGACCUUGGACUGCCUCGUUACCCUGUUAUCUGCCUGCCGCCUGCCUUGUGAUAUACCUGCCUGUCUACUGAUUACCCCUGUCUUGCCUGCCGCCUGUCCUGACCCAUUGCCUGGGACGAUGUCAUCACCAUGGGCCUCAGAGAUGGAAAAAUGACAGGGCUAUGCAGGGGGCCGAGAGUUCCUGGCUGUAAUGUGACCCUGCAGAUGCGUCAGUCAUGCCUGCUAUGAGAGGCCUCUACAUGGGCCUCAACCCCCUCCUCCAGGGUCUGAAUGGCCCGACCGCCACUGCCGGGGGUUUGGCCAGGAAGACUCAGGAUGACCGAACAACACUGAGCUCUGUUUUAGCCGGAUACACAGUGGCCAUGAACCAGCCCUGUCUAUCCCACGUUCCACCUGCUAGACAUACAUCACCAAGACCAUCUGUGGCAUUCUGCAACCUGCUUCCUCAGCUCCACACAAUAACAGUGGGUUUGUUAGUUUGUUUCCUCAGCUCAUGUGACUAUUACAAGCUAAAUAUUAAGUUCCAGCCAAGGUCAGUUGAAAAGACUCAAAGGAGAGGAAGGAAAAACAGAGAAAGAGGGGGUGAAUGAGAAACUAAAAGAAGGAAAAGGGCAAGGAGGGCAUGCAAAAUGCAACAAUGCAGGUGAUAAAAUGAUUACAGUAGAGAGGAGUGUUUUAGUAGUUAGGUCACUACUAUAUGAUUUGACUCUCUUUGUUUCAAUACAAACUUGGUCUGUACUGCCACUUUGUGGUCGUAGGUGGAAUAAUAUCGAAUAAUUAUUCAGUUUGGAAAUGAACUGUUUUGACUUUGCUUUGAAAUAUUAUUUUUUAACCCUCACACUGUAUUAAAAAAUGUAUACACCUUUUGUAUUCCUGGGUCAACUAAAACAACAGGUCAAAGUUUAGAAUGUUAUUACUGUGUUUACCCCCUUUUAUUAAUUAAUAAAUUGAGAAAUUCUUUGAAAUGUCAAAUUUUAAAACCACACCCAAAUGUACAUUUCAUGAAAGGAAGGGCAAGUUUAAUGUCUGACAGUCAAAUGCCUCAAAGGGCAUAUAUAUAUAUAUAUAUAUAUAUAUAUAUAUAUAUAUAUACAGUGCCUUGC